This 468-nucleotide ribosomal RNA is filed under the name uncultured bacterium. RNAcentral's name for it is "partial 16S ribosomal RNA". It matches the Rfam family "Bacterial small subunit ribosomal RNA", at positions 28 to 507 of the family's 1533-position model. The record is from RNAcentral.
GACGAACGCUGGCGGCGUGCUUAACACAUGCAAGUCGAACGGAAAGGCCCUGCUUUUGUGGGGUGCUCGAGUGGCGAACGGGUGAGUAACACGUGAGUAACCUGCCCUUGACUUUGGGAUAACUUCAGGGAACUGGGGCUAAUACCGGAUAGGAGCUCCUGCUGCAUGGUGGGGGUUGGAAAGUUUCGGCGGUUGGGGAUGGACUCGCGGCUUAUCAGCUUGUUGGUGGGGUAGUGGCUUACCAAGGCUUUGACGGGUAGCCGGCCUGAGAGGGUGACCGGCCACAUUGGGACUGAGAUACGGCCCAGACUCCUACGGGAGGCAGCAGUGGGGAAUAUUGCUCAAUGGGCGGAAGCCUGAUGCAGCAACGCCGCGUGCGGGAUGACGGCCUUCGGGUUGUAAACCGCUUUCGCCUGUGACGAAGCGUGAGUGACGGUAAUGGGUAAAGAAGCACCGGCUAACUACGUG